RNAcentral lists this ribosomal RNA (253 nucleotides) under uncultured bacterium. RNAcentral describes it as "partial 16S ribosomal RNA". It matches the Rfam family "Bacterial small subunit ribosomal RNA", at positions 524 to 776 of the family's 1533-position model. The record is from RNAcentral.
UACGUAGGGUGCAAGCGUUAAUCGGAAUUACUGGGCGUAAAGCGUGCGCAGGCGGUUAUGUAAGACAGAUGUGAAAUCCCCGGGCUCAACCUGGGAACUGCAUUUGUGACUGCAUAGCUAGAGUACGGUAGAGGGGGAUGGAAUUCCGCGUGUAGCAGUGAAAUGCGUAGAUAUGCGGAGGAAUACCGGUGGCGAAGGCGGCCCCCUGGACAAAGACUGACGCUCAGGUGCGAAAGCGUGGGGAGCAAACAGG